UACGUAGGGCGCAAGCGUUGUCCGGAAUUAUUGGGCGUAAAGGGCUCGUAGGCGGUCUGUUGCGUCGGGAGUGAAAACUCAGGGCUUAACCCUGAGCCUGCUUCCGAUACGGGCAGACUAGAGGUAUGCAGGGGAGAACGGAAUUCCUGGUGUAGCGGUGAAAUGCGCAGAUAUCAGGAGGAACACCGGUGGCGAAGGCGGCAUUCUGGACCGAAACUGACGCUGAGGCGCGAAAGCCAGGGGAGCAAACGGG
RNAcentral lists this ribosomal RNA (253 nucleotides) under uncultured bacterium. Its description in RNAcentral is "partial 16S ribosomal RNA". It matches the Rfam family "Bacterial small subunit ribosomal RNA", at positions 524 to 776 of the family's 1533-position model. The record is from RNAcentral.